This 290-nucleotide ribosomal RNA is filed under the name uncultured bacterium. RNAcentral's name for it is "partial 16S ribosomal RNA". It matches the Rfam family "Bacterial small subunit ribosomal RNA", at positions 773 to 1060 of the family's 1533-position model. The record is from RNAcentral.
GUGGAUUAGAUACCCUAGUAGUCCACGCCCUAAACUAUGUCAACUGGUUGUCGGGGGAUUAACUCCCUUGGUAACGAAGCUAACGCGUGAAGUUGACCGCCUGGGGAGUACGGCCGCAAGGUUAAAACUCAAAGGAAUUGACGGGGACCCGCACAAGCGGUGGAUUAUGUGGAUUAAUUCGAUGCAACGCGAAAAACCUUACCUACCCUUGACAUGUACGGAAUCUCCCAGAGAUGGGAGAGUGCCCGAAAGGGAACCGUAACACAGGUGCUGCACGGCCGUCGCCAACU